CCUACGGGUGGCAGCAGUGAGGAAUAUUGGUCAAUGGACGAGAGUCUGAACCAGCCAAGUAGCGUGAAGGAUGACUGCCCUAUGGGUUGUAAACUUCUUUUAUAUGGGAAUAAAAUGUUCCACGUGUGGGAUUUUGUAUGUACCAUAUGAAUAAGGAUCGGCUAACUCCGUGCCAGAAGCCGCGGUAAUAGGGAGGAUCCGAGCGUUAUCCGGAUUGAUUGGGUUUAAAGGGUGCGCAGGGGGCCGGUUCAGUCAGCGGUAAAAGCCCGGGGCUGAACCCGGGCGAGGCGUUGAAACUGGCGGGCUGGAGUUGGAGAGAGGUGCGCGGAAUGCGGGGGGGAGCGGUGAAAUGCGUAGAGAUCGCGCAGAACCCCGAUUGCGAAGGCAGCGGACCGGCUCCACACUGACGCUGAGGCGCGAAAGCGUGGGUAUCGAACAGGAUUAGAUACCCCAGUAGUC
This 459-nucleotide ribosomal RNA is filed under the name uncultured bacterium. Its description in RNAcentral is "partial 16S ribosomal RNA". It matches the Rfam family "Bacterial small subunit ribosomal RNA", at positions 338 to 795 of the family's 1533-position model. The record is from RNAcentral.